UUUUGUACCAGGCAUGUAUGUCCACCACACAUUUUAUUUCACCGAUGUUUUUCACGUUCUUCAAAAAACGUUUGAUACUCAUUUAAUAACGUGGUAUUAAAAGAAGGAUCGAAGGGAGGUAAUUCUCCACCAUAGUCUUCAGUGAAACCUUGAUUUAUCAUCACCCUGUGAAAUCGUUCUUAAAUCGAAUGUGGCACUAAAUUGAAAGAACUCCAAACAAAAUGGUAGGAAUGCUGCUAAAAAUGCAUGGACUAAUGCUCCUAAGUUAACCACAUGUAUCGCUUUGUAACGUACAGGAUAAGCAUCCUAUUAAGUAUAUUAUCGCGCAAGAAGCAUAAUAGGAAUGCAUCAUCAAUAGGACAAUACAACUGUUUAUCAUCUAAAAAUAAUUAUUA
This is a long non-coding RNA of Centruroides sculpturatus (bark scorpion), 395 nucleotides long. RefSeq lists it as uncharacterized. NCBI's taxonomy places the organism in Eukaryota, Metazoa, Arthropoda, Arachnida, Scorpiones, Buthidae. The record is from RefSeq and is a predicted model, not a curated record. The transcript is spliced from 5 exons.